AACCACUGGUGAACAGGAAGCUCGCCAGGAUCAAGGACGAUCGACCAUGCUUGGAUGCUGCCGACAGGGAGUUGGAAUGGUUCUGGACAAAAAACCCGCUUCGGCGGGUUUUUU
Molecule: small RNA, 114 nt
Filed under: Pseudomonas sp. StFLB209
Lineage: Bacteria; Pseudomonadati; Pseudomonadota; Gammaproteobacteria; Pseudomonadales; Pseudomonadaceae
Source: RNAcentral